GACGAACGCUGGCGGCGUGCUUAACACAUGCAAGUCGAACGGAAAGGCCCUGCUUUUGUGGGGUGCUCGAGUGGCGAACGGGUGAGUAACACGGGAGUAACCUGCCCUUGACUUUGGGAUAACUUCAGGAAACUGGGGCUAAUACAGGCUAGGAGCUCCUGCUGCAUGGUGGGGGUUGGAAAGUUUCGGCGGUUGUGGAUGGACGCGCGGCUUAUCAGCUUGUUGGUGGGGUAGUGGCUUACCAAGGCUUUGACGGGUGGGCGGCCUGGGAGGGUGGACGGCGACAUUGGGACUGAGGUAGGGCGCAGUCUGCUACGGUAGGCAGUAGUGGGAAAUAUUGCACAAUGGGCGGAAGCCUGAUGCAGCGACGCCGCGUUCGUGAUGACGGCUUUCGGGUUGGAAACCGCUUUCGCCUGUGACGAAGCGUGAGUGACGGUAAUGGGUAAAGAAGCACCGGCUAACUACGUG
Molecule: ribosomal RNA, 468 nt
Filed under: uncultured bacterium
Lineage: Bacteria
Description: partial 16S ribosomal RNA
Rfam family: Bacterial small subunit ribosomal RNA
Source: RNAcentral